UCAGGACGAACGCUGGCGGCGUGCCUAAUACAUGCAAGUCGAGCGGACUCAACAGUUUCCUUCGGGAAACUGUUAGGUUAGCGGCGGACGGGUGAGUAAUACGUAGGUAACCUGCCCUUAAGACCGGGAUAACUCACGGAAACGUGGGCUAAUACCGGAUAGGCGAUUUCCUCGCAUGAGGGAAUCGGGAAAGGCGGAGCAAUCUGCCACUUAUGGAUGGACCUACGGCGCAUUAGCUAGUUGGUGGGGUAACGGCUCACCAAGGCGACGAUGCGUAGCCGACCUGAGAGGGUGAUCGGCCACACUGGGACUGAGACACGGCCCAGACUCCUACGGGAGGCAGCAGUAGGGAAUCUUCCGCAAUGGACGCAAGUCUGACGGAGCAACGCCGCGUGAGUGAUGAAGGUUUUCGGAUCGUAAAGCUCUGUUGCCAGGGAAGAACGCUAUGGAGAGUAACUGUUCCAUAGGUGACGGUACCUGAGAAGAAAGCCCCGGCUAACUACGUGCCAGCAGCCGCGGUAAUACGUAGGGGGCAAGCGUUGUCCGGAAUUAUUGGGCGUAAAGCGCGCGCAGGCGGUCAUGUAAGUCUGGUGUUUAAACCCGGGGCUCAACUCCGGGUCGCAUCGGAAACUGUGUGACUUGAGUGCAGAAGAGGAAAGUGGAAUUCCACGUGUAGCGGUGAAAUGCGUAGAGAUGUGGAGGAACACCAGUGGCGAAGGCGACUUUCUGGGCUGUAACUGAC
This 742-nucleotide ribosomal RNA is filed under the name Paenibacillus sp. P3820. RNAcentral describes it as "bacterial SSU rRNA". It matches the Rfam family "Bacterial small subunit ribosomal RNA", at positions 24 to 744 of the family's 1533-position model. The record is from RNAcentral. Lineage: Bacteria; Bacillati; Bacillota; Bacilli; Caryophanales; Paenibacillaceae.